This 506-nucleotide ribosomal RNA is filed under the name uncultured bacterium. Its description in RNAcentral is "partial 16S ribosomal RNA". It matches the Rfam family "Bacterial small subunit ribosomal RNA", at positions 29 to 523 of the family's 1533-position model. The record is from RNAcentral.
AGUGAACGCUGGCGGUAGGCCUAACACAUGCAAGUCGAACGGCAGCACAGAGGAGCUUGCUCCUUGGGUGGCGAGUGGCGGACGGGUGAGGAAUGCAUCGGAAUCUACUCUGUCGUGGGGGAUAACGUAGGGAAACUUACGCUAAUACCGCAUACGACCUACGGGUGAAAGCAGGAGACCUUCGGGCCUUGCGCGAUUGAAUGAGCCGAUGUCGGAUUAGCUAGUUGGCGGGGUAAAGGCCCACCAAGGCGACGAUCCGUAGCUGGUCUGAGAGGAUGAUCAGCCACACUGGAACUGAGACACGGUCCAGACUCCUACGGGAGGCAGCAGUGGGGAAUAUUGGACAAUGGGCGCAAGCCUGAUCCAGCCAUACCGCGUGGGUGAAGAAGGCCUUCGGGUUGUAAAGCCCUUUUGUUGGGAAAGAAAUCCAGCUGGCUAAUACCCGGUUGGGAUGACGGUACCCAAAGAAUAAGCACCGGCUAACUUCGUGCCAGCAGCCGCGGUAA